This 253-nucleotide ribosomal RNA is filed under the name uncultured bacterium. Its description in RNAcentral is "partial 16S ribosomal RNA". It matches the Rfam family "Bacterial small subunit ribosomal RNA", at positions 524 to 776 of the family's 1533-position model. The record is from RNAcentral. RNAcentral also lists the same sequence under 1 other name.
UACGUAGGGGGCAAGCGUUAUCCGGAUUUACUGGGUGUAAAGGGAGCGUAGACGGUGAUGUAAGUCAGAUGUGAAAGCCCAGGGCUCAACCCUGGGACUGCAUUUGAAACUAUGUCACUGGAGUGCAGGAGAGGUAAGUGGAAUUCCUAGUGUAGCGGUGAAAUGCGUAGAUAUUAGGAGGAACACCAGUGGCGAAGGCGGCUUACUGGACUGUAACUGACGUUGAGGCUCGAAAGCGUGGGGAGCAAACAGG